Long non-coding RNA from Oncorhynchus keta (chum salmon), 1674 nucleotides. RefSeq lists it as uncharacterized. NCBI's taxonomy places the organism in Eukaryota, Metazoa, Chordata, Actinopteri, Salmoniformes, Salmonidae. The record is from RefSeq and is a predicted model, not a curated record. The transcript has 3 exons.
GAAUGAAGUGUGACUAAAUAAAGUGAAGGUUUGCCCCUAGCCUGGCUAACAACCCAAACUCUGUAUAACCAGGUUACUAGUUUUCCAUUGUACCACGUGGUAUGUUGCAUCAGGCUAGGCGCCUCCCCAGUGUGGUCAUUAUUUAGCUGCAUCACUACAGUGGCUCAAAUAAAUAUGACACUAGGGAACAGUCACACACCCUGAGCAUUCAUUAGAAAACAAAAAACGCAUUGACUUUGCUCUCAGCGAGUCACAAAGCAUGGCCUUCGCCUUUCCACUCUACGUGAUGAGAACAAUGCCCAGGUCUGUGGGUAGGUUGUGGUGUGUAGAGUAGAAGCUACGAUUGGAUGGUAGGUUGUGGUGUGUAGAGUAGAAGCUACGAUUGGAUGGUAGGUUGUGGUGUGUAGAGUAGAAGCUACGAUUGGAUGGUAGGUUGUGGUGUGUAGAGUAGAAGCUACGAUUGGAUGGUAGGUUGUGGUGUGUAGAGUAGAAGCUACGAUUGGAUGGUAGGUUGUGGUGUGUAGAGUAGAAGCUACGAUUGGAUGGUAGGUUGUGGUGUGUAGAGUAGAAGCUACGAUUGGAUGGUAGGUUGUGGUGUGUAGAGUAGAAGCUACGAUUGGAUGGUAGGUUGUGGUGUGUAGAGUAGAAGCUACGAUUGGAUGGUAGGUUGUGGUGUGUAGAGUAGAAGCUACGAUUGGAUGGUAGGUUGUGGUGUGUAGAGUAGAAGCUACGAUUGGAUGGUAGGUUGUGGUGUGUAGAGUAGAAGCUACGAUUGGAUGGUAGGUUGUGGUGUGUAGAGUAGAAGCUACGAUUGGAUGGUAGGUUGUGGUGUGUAGAGUAGAAGCUACGAUUGGAUGGUAGGUUGUGGUGUGUAGAGUAGAAGCUACGAUUGGAUGGUAGGUUGUGGUGUGUAGAGUAGAAGCUACGAUUGGAUGGUAGGUUGUGGUGUGUAGAGUAGAAGCUACGAUUGGAUGGUAGGUUGUGGUGUGUAGAGUAGAAGCUACGAUUGGAUGGUAGGUUGUGGUGUGUAGAGUAGAAGCUACGAUUGGAUGGUAGGUUGUGGUGUGUAGAGUAGAAGCUACGAUUGGAUGGUAGGUUGUGGUGUGUAGAGUAGAAGCUACGAUUGGAUGGUAGGUUGUGGUGUGUAGAGUAGAAGCUACGAUUGGAUGGUAGGUUGUGGUGUGUAGAGUAGAAGCUACGAUUGGAUGGUAGGUUGUGGUGUGUAGAGUAGAAGCUACGAUUGGAUGGUAGGUUGUGGUGUGUAGAGUAGAAGCUACGAUUGGAUGGUAGGUUGUGGUGUGUAGAGUAGAAGCUACGAUUGGAUGGUAGGUUGUGGUGUGUAGAGUAGAAGCUACGAUUGGAUGGUAGGUUGUGGUGUGUAGAGUAGAAGCUACGAUUGGAUGGUAGGUUGUGGUGUGUAGAGUAGAAGCUACGAUUGGAUGGUAGGUUGUGGUGUGUAGAGUAGAAGCUACGAUUGGAUGGUAGGUUGUGGUGUGUAGAGUAGAAGCUACGAUUGGAUGGUAGGUUGUGGUGUGUAGAGUAGAAGCUACGAUUGGAUGGUAGGUUGUGGUGUGUAGAGUAGAAGCUACGAUUGGAUGGUAGGUUGUGGUGUGUAGAGUAGAAGCUACGAUUGGAUGGUAGGUUGUGGUGUGUAGAGUAGAAGCUACGAUUGGA